GGCGUGCUUAACACAUGCAAGUCGAACGAUGAUCUCCAGACUUGCUGGGGGGAUUAGUGGCGAACGGGUGAGUAACACGUGAGUAACCUGCCCUUGACUCUGGGAUAAGCCUGGGAAACUGGGUCUAAUACCGGAUAUGACUCCUCAUCGCAUGGUGGGGGGUGGAAAGCUUUUUUGUGGUUUUGGAUGGACUCGCGGCCUAUCAGCUUGUUGGUGAGGUAAUGGCUUACCAAGGCGACGACGGGUAGCCGGCCUGAGAGGGUGACCGGCCACACUGGGACUGAGACACGGCCCAGACUCCUACGGGAGGCAGCAGUGGGGAAUAUUGCACAAUGGGCGAAAGCCUGAUGCAGCGACGCCGCGUGAGGGAUGACGGCCUUCGGGUUGUAAACCUCUUUCAGUAGGGAAGAAGCGAAAGUGACGGUACCUGCAGAAGAAGCGCCGGCUAACUACGUGCCAGCAGCCGCGGUAAUACGUAGGGCGCAAGCGUUAUCCGGAAUUAUUGGGCGUAAAGAGCUCGUAGGCGGUUUGUCGCGUCUGCCGUGAAAGUCCGGGGCUCAACUCCGGAUCUGCGGUGGGUACGGGCAGACUAGAGUGAUGUAGGGGAGACUGGAAUUCCUGGUGUAGCGGUGAUAUGCGCAGAUAUCAGGAGGAACACCGAUGGCGAAGGCAGGUCUCUGGGCAUUAACUGACGCUGAGGAGCGAAAGCAUGGGGAGCGAACAGGAUUAGAUACCCUGGUAGUCCAU
This 747-nucleotide ribosomal RNA is filed under the name actinobacterium KV-417. Its description in RNAcentral is "bacterial SSU rRNA". It matches the Rfam family "Bacterial small subunit ribosomal RNA", at positions 41 to 798 of the family's 1533-position model. The record is from RNAcentral. Lineage: Bacteria; Bacillati; Actinomycetota; Actinomycetes.